CGGAGCAGUGGCGGACGGGUGAGUAACGCGUGGGAACGUGCCCUUUGGUUCGGAACAACACAGGGAAACUUGUGCUAAUACCGGAUGUGCCCUUCGGGGGAAAGAUUUAUCGCCAUUGGAGCGGCCCGCGUUGGAUUAGGUAGUUGGUGGGGUAAUGGCCCACCAAGCCGACGAUCCAUAGCUGGUCCGAGAGGAUGAUCAGCCACACUGGGACUGAGACACGGCCCAGACUCCUACGGGAGGCAGCAGUGGGGAAUCUUGCGCAAUGGGCGAAAGCCUGACGCAGCCAUGCCGCGUGAAUGAUGAAGGUCUUAGGAUUGUAAAAUUCUUUCACCGGGGAAGAUAAUGACGGUACCCGGAGAAGAAGCCCCGGCUAACUUCGUGCCAGCAGCCGCGGUAAUACGAAGGGGGCUAGCGUUGCUCGGAAUUACUGGGCGUAAAGGGCGCGUAGGCGGACAGUUAAGUCAGAGGUGAAAGCCCAGGGCUCAACCUUGGAAUUGCCUUUGAUACUGGCUGUCUUGAGUUCGGGAGAGGUGAGUGGAAUGCCGAGUGUAGAGGUGAAAUUCGUAGAUAUUCGGCGGUACACCAGUGGCGAAGGCGACUCACUGGCCCGAUACUGACGCUGAGGCGCGAAAGCGUGGGGAGCAAACAGG
This 653-nucleotide ribosomal RNA is filed under the name uncultured Alphaproteobacteria bacterium. RNAcentral's name for it is "bacterial SSU rRNA". It matches the Rfam family "Bacterial small subunit ribosomal RNA", at positions 88 to 776 of the family's 1533-position model. The record is from RNAcentral. Lineage: Bacteria; Pseudomonadati; Pseudomonadota; Alphaproteobacteria.